UAAUAAUGGCCCCUUACUCUCAUAAUCAGUGCUGAGUAGUGGCAAGGGGGAGAAAAUGGAAAAGUUGGCAUGGGAGAGAAGGCAGAUCCAGAAGAUAGGACACAGCUCAGCCCUGAGAAUGUGGCCUGAUUUUCUCUUCUGUUAUCACAACUGCUCUUCUGCUUGAGUUUCUUCUACACCUUCAAGAUGGCUGAAGAACAAGAUGCUUUCUCUCCACGUCUGUGCUGUUUCACUAUGCUGCAAAUAUUCCCAGCCCUUUCCCCUUGAUGCCCAAAAUAAAUUACUCAACUACCCUGAA
Nomascus leucogenys (northern white-cheeked gibbon) is the source of this 298-nucleotide RNA transcript. It is a transcript of the gene named transmembrane protein 252, with no coding region annotated. The record is from RefSeq and is a predicted model, not a curated record. Lineage: Eukaryota; Metazoa; Chordata; Mammalia; Primates; Hylobatidae.